This is a long non-coding RNA of Equus caballus (horse), 4093 nucleotides long. Lineage: Eukaryota; Metazoa; Chordata; Mammalia; Perissodactyla; Equidae. The record is from Ensembl.
CCCCCUUACACUCCACCCCAGUGGCCAGCAGCCGCCUCAUCAUCUCUUCAGCUGUCUCUCCAGCCUUUCACUCCCUUUUUCUGGGAAGAAUCCCCCCGGAGCCUUGGCCCCCUCCUUGAUGACCCCUUACACCUUCCCUCACUCCCUCUUCCAGGAAGUUUUCAGGACUGAACCCCCUUCUCUAUUCUUCACUCCAGUCCGCAGUGGCCCAUCUCCUGUCCUGAUGUUGGGACACUGUGCUGGGGACCAACCUUGGCUUCUCCACAUUUCUCCCCAAAGGGCUCCCACCAGCCUGCCCAGUGUGUACCUGUGGGGCGUGGGCGGUUCUGGAGGGGGAGAGGCAGAGACUCUUCCUCAGGUGGCUUCCAGGCCUUUCAUACGUUCCUUCCUUUCUUCAGAACUAGCCAAGAGCCAGUUAAGUGUCUGGUUGGGUGCUGGGCUCAGUGGGCAGCUAGAUGCGGGUGUCCUUGUCGCAGCCAUACCCUGCACCCAGCAUCCCUGAGGCUGUCAGCUAACUUCUCAGAAUCCCCAUCAAAUGCAGCCUCCCUCAUGGAGCAGAUAAAGCUCUUAAUAAUGGAAUUUCUGCUUCCACUUCCCAUCUCCCCCAGCCCAGACUCCCUCUGAUGGAUGUUCCAGUCCCCUAAGGCACCAUGCUCUUCCCUACGUCCUUGCUUUCACGUACACUGUCCACUCUCCACCACCCACUUCCUCAAACUCCUUAGACUGACAACUCCUUGCUUACCUUUUAUCACUUUUAUUCCCUUUAUCUUUCAUCACCAACAUUUUGGCCCCCUCCAGGAACCCUUCCUUAACUCCCCCAAGGUGGCCCACAGUUCCCUCCCCACCUGCUCCCACAGCACUUUGCACACGUCUUCAGGACAGCAGUCUCCACAUGCCAUGUAAUUGUGUGUCUGCCUCCCCUGCUGGACGGUUAGCUCCUCAAAGAAGCUUUGUAUUCCACCUUCCUCUUCAGCAUAGCACCUGGCACAUAGUAGGCACUCAAUAAAUGUCUAGUGAAUGAAUGAGCUGACAUGGAGGUAGGGAUAAGGGAAAGGAAGGUAUGAACAUGAGAGGUGCUACAAAGGAGGAAGUGGUGGGUUCCGAUGUGACUGAUUUGGAUCGGGGGAAGGAAGAGGGCAAAUCGGAUAAUGCUCAGGAUUUGCACCUGAGGGCCUGGGAGUUUAAUGAAGCCGCCCAUAGAGGCAGGGAAGCAGGAACACGGGGCAAGACUUCAAGCCCAAUGCGGAGUGAGGGAGCAUGUGAAUGCCCUUCCUAUGUCUGGGGAAUGACCCCCUCAUGAGUUUCGGAGGGAGGCUGCACUUACAUGCCACUACAGAAGCCAAAAGCACAGGUACCUUCCUGGCCCUCCUUGCAGCUGGGGCCUGGGCGUUGGGUCUAGGCUUAGCCAAUCAGAUGCACCAGUCCAGUCUCUGACCUGGGAGCUAAUGGCAGGACCACAGGUAGCAGUUAGGGUACAAUCUGGAGUUUAUAAGAAGCCAAGACUAGAGAAAUGAACGAGCGUUUAUAACUUUGGCUGAUGGCUGAGGUGAUAAAAGUGAAUGAAAGUGAGUAGGAAGGAAAAAAACAAAGGUGACAGUAGAACCUUGGGGAACAUACUUUUGGCUGGAGGACUGGUCAACCCAGCGGACUGAGAGAAGAGAACCCAGAAUGAAUAAUCAGGGAUAUCACAGAAGAACCAAAGGCCAAAGGUGAAGACACGAUGGACAUCAGCAUGAAAUGUUCCACAAAAGUCACCAGACCUGAGCAAGGGCCGUUGGGUCCGAGCGAGGAGGUUGAGCGGCCUGAGAGGGCACAGUGUCACCAGAGUUACGAAGAUGGAAGCCGGACUGCAGGGCUGAGGAGAGAUGACUUGGAGCUUCGCCUCAAGUACAUGGUGGCCCUUCACAGGCCCCAGAGAGACCCCCACCCUAAACUGGCAGAUGAUCCUGCCUGCCCACACCUUACCCUCUCCCUCCUCCUGCUGACACCCCCAGUUCUGAUUCCUCCGGUAUUUUUUGCGUCACCCCCAGUCCUUCAAGUCCUCUGACCAUUGGCGCUCAGGAGGGGUCUGGAACCAAGGCCAGCGUGGAGGCCUCUCUACCGCGGCUGCUCCUGUGUGAGGCUCACAUCUCUUCGGGGGCUGCCCCUUCCUCAUCUCUCCCUCCUUCCUUCUCUCUCCAUCCUCUCUUCCCAGUUUCACUAGUAGGAAGACUCAACAAUGUUCCUGGUCAGCCAUAAAGCCCUGACAUCUCACCUCCCUCCACGUCCACCAACCAGGCCAGCUCUCAGCUCUGGAGAGGCGGCCAUUUUAUAGGCGCCAGCUACCUAAGAUGGCGGCCUCCCUGUCUCCCUCUGCUUUCGUUCCCACAGCCUUGCCUCUUACCCUUGCCUCUUUCUUUCUGAAGCCUGAGCCCAGCAAGGUGGGGGGCCGGGCUGGGGAGCCAAGGCCAGAGGAAGCAAAACAAAAAAGGACAGAAAAGCCGGCCCCUUGGCAUCUCUCUUUGGCACUUUAGUCCAGCAGAGGGAGAGAGGGCAGAAGGGAAGAAAGAAAGUAGUGUGAGUUUUUAUUUCCAUCCUCUUCCUGCCACCUCCCCCCCAACACACACACACACACACACACACACACACACACACACGCGUGCGCGCGCGCGCACACACUUUGAUGAAAACAAAAUUUCUCCCCUUUUCUCUCUUCUACAACCCCCCUCCCCUUUUUUCCUGGCUCCUACCAUGAGCCUCCUGGAAUGCAAAUAAGUUGUAUUAUGCAAAUGUAUGCAAAUCAGGCUUAACGAGCGGAAGGAGGGGGCAGAAUGCCGAAUGAGUAAUGGCGGAGGGUGCAGAUGGAGGAUGGCAGGAAUGACCCCUCCUCUUCUCUGUUCCCACAGCCUGGAGGCUUGCUAGGGGUAGCAGGAUGUCCCUCACUUCUGGGAAAGAGUAGAAGGUCAAAGCCACGUUGCUUCAGCUGAGACGGUUGAGCUGAGGUUGGCCUUGGCUAUAGGUGAAGGACAGGAGGGCUUGUGGGGAGAGAGGGUUAAGUACAAGGGACUCGUCCUCACUUGCACAACCUCACUUGAGCAACCUUGCCCAGAGACUCUGGAUGCACCAGCCUCCCUGCUUGUAUGGCCUGCUGAUGGCAGAACCUUCAGCUCCGGGUGCUGAAAAGGAGCUCCUGAUGGCCCCAGGCCUGGCCUAGAGACUGACUCAGGUGUUGGGCUUGUCUCUUCUGUGCUGUGGAAGCUCAAACCACCGCAAGGCAAUGAGAUGGGCUGUCUCCCCAGCCCGUCCCUUGUGCAGAGAGAAGGAAUGGGUGCAAUGACCCUGAGGGCGUGCUGCUCCCCUUCACCCAGAAGGUCCCCAGGGAGGCAGUUGUGGAAGGGAAGUGGGCAAACCCCGCCUCUGGAUGAGACGGCACCAUAACCCCCACGAUCUCUGAGGUCUCAGUAGCAAAGGAAAGGAGAUGAAAAGCUCAAUCUGUCCUCAGAACAUUGGGUAUGAAGGAGAUGAUGAAAUAAAUAUCAGUAUCCCACCUCCCAAACCUUGGGAAGUGCAGACUUCAAGAAUGACUUCCAGAUAUAGAAGAACACAGAGGGGCCUCUGCUUCUCUGGUGGGUUACCAACCUCGAGAACUGAAUUGGGGGUCUGGAAGGCAAGAGGAGAGAAAACACUCCUUCUUAACGUCACUCAGUGAUGAAGAAAAGUCUGCAUGCUGAUAGGCUUGCUGAUUGUGACAAUUCUUAUGACUGUAAGGACCUUUCAACAAAACCCUUUCCAUUCCUAGAAUUGGGAAAAAUUUGUUGCAAGGUGAAGGUGUGAGCGAUAACGUAAAACUUGUGUCGAACAUUUAGGAGAAAAUUGCCUUUGAACUCCUGGACUUAGAAAUCAAUAGGAGGGCACUGGGAUGAAGGGCUGAGGGGAGAAAUGGAUAAAGAAACCAGCUUAGAAUUUGGUUUCCAGUAGGGAUUAGGUGGAUGUUGCAAGAUCUGAAGAAUAGAAGUAAAAGUUCCUGGACACAGACACAAGUGUGAUGAUACCACAGGAAAAAAUUUCCUAACUGGUAACUGGUGAGGCCCUUCAGAGCCCCUUUCAACCUAGC